UAUAGAUGGGGUUUUGCACUUUAGUAUAUUUGGUGUCUUCCCAAUCGAAAAUAUUGUCAGUGUCUUGUCUGUUCAAAUCAAAUAUUUAGCUAUAAGGUCUGUCAUAUUCAGUAAAUGAGUCCUUUCUUGUUCUUGCUUCUCAUACAGCGGUUUUUCUUAUUAAAGGGAUUUGAUGGUAGACUGAUAGCAAAUCAUUAUUACUUGGGAAGUAAUGGGCUGCUUAAGUAAACAACUAUUCCUAGGCGAGGUUAUGCUUGUAAAAGUUCUAGAUGUUUAUGCCAUUUCUUAGGCUAGAUUUCACUUCUGUUGGUCAUCAAACUGUUUAUGCCUUUUAAUAACAAUACUGUGUUGAUAUAUGCUUGUAUAUAUUACAUU
Molecule: long non-coding RNA, 375 nt
Filed under: Eucalyptus grandis
Lineage: Eukaryota; Viridiplantae; Streptophyta; Magnoliopsida; Myrtales; Myrtaceae
Description: long non-coding RNA (EGRA_LNC007359)
Source: RNAcentral